RNAcentral lists this long non-coding RNA (985 nucleotides) under Homo sapiens (human). RNAcentral describes it as "HSALNT0228846". Lineage: Eukaryota; Metazoa; Chordata; Mammalia; Primates; Hominidae. The record is from RNAcentral.
GGCUCCGACCCAGGUCGUCGCAGCAGCACAGGAAGCUGUAACACAGCAGCCGCCGCCUAGCGGUAGACUGCUCCCCGGGGAGCUGUCCAGGGUACCAGAGGGUCGCCGAGGGCUGAGUGAGGAGGGCUUCUUCACACAGAGACACUAGGAGGAGGAAACAGAGUACAAGGAGAACGUAUCCAGGAGCAAUUCCACUUCGAAUGAUUCCUAAGUGAAUGCCUACAGGACAGUUCUCGGUGACCAUGUCCAGAACAGGCAUAAGUGACGAUCCCCAGUACUUCCCUGAGGGACCACACUGGUACCUUGGAUCAGAACCCUGCAUCAGAACAGGCCUAAAUGGCCAUGGCUAAGAACACGGCUGAGUUGUCCUUCAACAGCAAUGCCAAUGCCAAUUCACCAUGUCCGAGUGUUCACAAGGCUCCUCUCCUGGAUGUAAGCUAAUUUGUCUAUGUCUCUUCUAAAAUCUCACACCUGGGACUGCGCGAGGAAUUUCAGAUAUGGAUUGAAAAGUUCAACAGGACUCUCACCUCUCUUUUGUGUACUUUGGGCAAGUGGACCCCCUUUAAGCCUCAGGUUCCUCAGCUGUAAAAUGGGACGCUAUGAUUCACCUUAAAAGUCUCUCAAAGUUUAGAUGUUGCAUGAUUCUAUGAUUCCAUUACCCAAAGCAUGAACCACUCACUUGGCAUCAUGUAAUUUCCACAGUUGAUCACAAUUUAAUUAAUUCCUCAUUCUAAUUGUUAAUAAAAAUGUCAAAACAAAUAUACUUAAAGGAGUUCUUCUUCUUCUUUUGGGUGAGGGGAAGUGUCUCACUCUGUUGACCAUGCUGGCAUGCAGUAGUGCAAUCAUAGCUCAUGCUGCAGCCUCCACUUCCUGGGCUCAAGGGAUCCUCCUGCCUCAGCCUCCUGAGUAGCUAGGACUACAGGCAUGUGCCACCACACCUAGCUAGUUUUUUAAUUUUUUGUAGAGAUGAAGUCUUACUGUGUUG